This 445-nucleotide ribosomal RNA is filed under the name uncultured bacterium. Its description in RNAcentral is "partial 16S ribosomal RNA". It matches the Rfam family "Bacterial small subunit ribosomal RNA", at positions 354 to 796 of the family's 1533-position model. The record is from RNAcentral.
GUGAGGAAUAUUGGUCAAUGGGCGGGAGCCUGAACCAGCCAAGUCGCGUGAAGGAAGAAGGAUCUAUGGUUCGUAAACUUCUUUUGCAGGGGAAUAAAGUGCAGGACGUGUCCUGUUUUGUAUGUACCCUGAGAAUAAGGAUCGGCUAACUCCGUGCCAGCAGCCGCGGUAAUACGGAGGAUCCGAGCGUUAUCCGGAUUUAUUGGGUUUAAAGGGUGCGUAGGUGGUUUGAUAAGUCAGCGGUGAAAGUUUGCAGCUUAACUGUAAAAAUGCCGUUGAAACUGUCGGACUUGAGUGUAAAUGAGGUAGGCGGAAUGUGUUGUGUAGCAGUGAAAUGCAUAGAUAUAACACAGAACACCAAUUGCGAAGGCAGCUUACUGGGAUGCAACUGACGCUGAGGCACGAAAGCGUGGGGAUCAAACAGGAUUAGAAACCCCGGUAGUCC